CCUACGGGCGGCAGCAGUCGAGAAUCAUUCACAAUGGGGGAAACCCUGAUGGUGCGACGCCGCGUGGGGGAAUGAAGGUCUUCGGAUUGUAAACCCCUGUCAUGUGGGAGCAAAUUAAAAAGAUAGUACCACAAGAGGAAGAGACGGCUAACUCUGUGCCAGCAGCCGCGGUAAUACAGAGGUCUCAAGCGUUGUUCGGAAUCACUGGGCGUAAAGCGUGCGUAGGCUGUUUCGUAAGUCGUGUGUGAAAGGCGCGGGCUCAACCCGCGGACGGCACAUGAUACUGCGAGACUAGAGUAAGGGAGGGGGAACCGGAAUGCUCGGUGUAGCAGUGAAAUGCGUAGAUAUCGAGAGGAACACUCGUGGUGAAGGCGGGUUCCUGGACAUUAACUGACGCUGAGGCACGAAGGCCAGGGGAGCGAAAGGGAUUAGAUACCCGAGUAGUC
This 446-nucleotide ribosomal RNA is filed under the name uncultured bacterium. Its description in RNAcentral is "partial 16S ribosomal RNA". It matches the Rfam family "Bacterial small subunit ribosomal RNA", at positions 338 to 795 of the family's 1533-position model. The record is from RNAcentral.